GUCCCAUUAGUUCAACGGAUAGAAUCCCCGCCUACGAAGCGGAAGAUGUAAGUUCGAUCCUUACAUGGGAUACCA
This 75-nucleotide transfer RNA is filed under the name Lachnospiraceae bacterium. RNAcentral's name for it is "tRNA-Arg". It matches the Rfam family "tRNA". Rfam says of the family: Transfer RNA (tRNA) molecules are approximately 80 nucleotides in length. Their secondary structure includes four short double-helical elements and three loops (D, anti-codon, and T loops). The record is from RNAcentral. Lineage: Bacteria; Bacillati; Bacillota; Clostridia; Lachnospirales; Lachnospiraceae.